UCUGAUGUGGAGUCUACAGUUGCUAACUCGCGCAUUUCUCUCUCUUUCUCAUUCUUGAGUUCAAAUUUCAAAAUUAUUUUCAUUUGUCUUCUCUCUGUAUAUUCAAAACCUUCUCGUCUCUCUCUCUCGACCUCUCACUCCCCGACGAGCGAAGCUCUACUCCAACCCGCCAGCGAUCGAUUGUCUCUCUGACCAAGCUUCUCUGUCUCCCCUCGAUCCUCACUCCCGACGAUCGACACUGUCGCUUCUCACUUCUCGUCAGUCCCGCCGGACGGUGGAGGACUUGCUGUAUUCUCUCGACUCUCUCUCAGACUGCCAAUCGAGUAUGUAUCUUCUGUCGCCGACUGAGUGUCCAUUCCGAAGAGCGACCCGAACCUGCGAUUCCAACGUACAGAUUGCGGUGGUUUUAUUGGAUGAUGCUUGCCUACAAAUAUAGAGGUGACGGAGAAGUGCAAAUGAAAAAUAUGCCAACUAUCACCGAACAACUACGAUUUAUGAGCGAACAACUUCAAUUUCAGAGUGCAAAGAUGCUUAAAUUGGAAAAAGACAUAAAUUGAAGUUGGUGUCGUAUUUAUGGGUUUUUCAUCUUGUUUGUAAUUGGUGUUGUAUCAGUUAUGAAGACAUAAUAAUAUAUAUAAAUGUUAGAAUGUUGCUAUUUAGUUAUUCAUCUUGCUUGUAAUCGAAUGGUUAUGAAUGAAUGCUAUUUUGUUAGUUAUUCA
Molecule: non-coding RNA, 719 nt
Organism: Camellia sinensis
Lineage: Eukaryota; Viridiplantae; Streptophyta; Magnoliopsida; Ericales; Theaceae
Source: RefSeq, a predicted model, not a curated record